GGGUUGUGAGGUUAAGCGACUAAGCGUACACGGUGGAUGCCCUGGCAGUCAGAGGCGAUGAAGGACGUGCUAAUCUGCGAUAAGCGUCGGUAAGGUGAUAUGAACCGUUAUAACCGGCGAUUUCCGAAUGGGGAAACCCAGUGUGUUUCGACACACUAUCAUUAACUGAAUCCAUAGGUUAAUGAGGCGAACCGGGGGAACUGAAACAUCUAAGUACCCCGAGGAAAAGAAAUCAACCGAGAUUCCCCCAGUAGCGGCGAGCGAACGGGGAGGAGCCCAGAGCCUGAAUCAGUGUGUGUGUUAGUGGAAGCGUCUGGAAAGGCGCGCGAUACAGGGUGACAGCCCCGUACACAAAAAUGCACAUACUGUGAGCUCGAUGAGUAGGGCGGGACACGUGGUAUCCUGUCUGAAUAUGGGGGGACCAUCCUCCAAGGCUAAAUACUCCUGACUGACCGAUAGUGAACCAGUACCGUGAGGGAAAGGCGAAAAGAACCCCGGCGAGGGGAGUGAAAAAGAACCUGAAACCGUGUACGUACAAGCAGUGGGAGCCUCUUAAUGGGGUGACUGCGUACCUUUUGUAUAAUGGGUCAGCGACUUAUAUUCUGUAGCAAGGUUAACCGAAUAGGGGAGCCGAAGGGAAACCGAGUCUUAACUGGGCGUUAAGUUGCAGGGUAUAGACCCGAAACCCGGUGAUCUAGCCAUGGGCAGGUUGAAGGUUGGGUAACACUAACUGGAGGACCGAACCGACUAAUGUUGAAAAAUUAGCGGAUGACUUGUGGCUGGGGGUGAAAGGCCAAUCAAACCGGGAGAUAGCUGGUUCUCCCCGAAAGCUAUUUAGGUAGCGCCUCGUGAAUUCAUCUCCGGGGGUAGAGCACUGUUUCGGCAAGGGGGUCAUCCCGACUUACCAACCCGAUGCAAACUGCGAAUACCGGAGAAUGUUAUCACGGGAGACACACGGCGGGUGCUAACGUCCGUCGUGAAGAGGGAAACAACCCAGACCGCCAGCUAAGGUCCCAAAGUCAUGGUUAAGUGGGAAACGAUGUGGGAAGGCCCAGACAGCCAGGAUGUUGGCUUAGAAGCAGCCAUCAUUUAAAGAAAGCGUAAUAGCUCACUGGUCGAGUCGGCCUGCGCGGAAGAUGUAACGGGGCUAAACCAUGCACCGAAGCUGCGGCAGCGACACUAUGUGUUGUUGGGUAGGGGAGCGUUCUGUAAGCCUGUGAAGGUGUACUGUGAGGUAUGCUGGAGGUAUCAGAAGUGCGAAUGCUGACAUAAGUAACGAUAAAGCGGGUGAAAAGCCCGCUCGCCGGAAGACCAAGGGUUCCUGUCCAACGUUAAUCGGGGCAGGGUGAGUCGACCCCUAAGGCGAGGCCGAAAGGCGUAGUCGAUGGGAAACAGGUUAAUAUUCCUGUACUUGGUGUUACUGCGAAGGGGGGACGGAGAAGGCUAUGUUGGCCGGGCGACGGUUGUCCCGGUUUAAGCGUGUAGGCUGGUUUUCCAGGCAAAUCCGGAAAAUCAAGGCUGAGGCGUGAUGACGAGGCACUACGGUGCUGAAGCAACAAAUGCCCUGCUUCCAGGAAAAGCCUCUAAGCAUCAGGUAACAUCAAAUCGUACCCCAAACCGACACAGGUGGUCAGGUAGAGAAUACCAAGGCGCUUGAGAGAACUCGGGUGAAGGAACUAGGCAAAAUGGUGCCGUAACUUCGGGAGAAGGCACGCUGAUAUGUAGGUGAAGUCCCUCGCGGAUGGAGCUGAAAUCAGUCGAAGAUACCAGCUGGCUGCAACUGUUUAUUAAAAACACAGCACUGUGCAAACACGAAAGUGGACGUAUACGGUGUGACGCCUGCCCGGUGCCGGAAGGUUAAUUGAUGGGGUUAGCGGUAACGCGAAGCUCUUGAUCGAAGCCCCGGUAAACGGCGGCCGUAACUAUAACGGUCCUAAGGUAGCGAAAUUCCUUGUCGGGUAAGUUCCGACCUGCACGAAUGGCGUAAUGAUGGCCAGGCUGUCUCCACCCGAGACUCAGUGAAAUUGAACUCGCUGUGAAGAUGCAGUGUACCCGCGGCAAGACGGAAAGACCCCGUGAACCUUUACUAUAGCUUGACACUGAACAUUGAGCCUUGAUGUGUAGGAUAGGUGGGAGGCUUUGAAGUGUGGACGCCAGUCUGCAUGGAGCCGGCCUUGAAAUACCACCCUUUAAUGUUUGAUGUUCUAACGUUGGCCCCUGAUCGGGGUUGCGGACAGUGUCUGGUGGGUAGUUUGACUGGGGCGGUCUCCUCCUAAAGAGUAACGGAGGAGCACGAAGGUUGGCUAAUCCUGGUCGGACAUCAGGAGGUUAGUGCAAUGGCAUAAGCCAGCUUGACUGCGAGCGUGACGGCGCGAGCAGGUGCGAAAGCAGGUCAUAGUGAUCCGGUGGUUCUGAAUGGAAGGGCCAUCGCUCAACGGAUAAAAGGUACUCCGGGGAUAACAGGCUGAUACCGCCCAAGAGUUCAUAUCGACGGCGGUGUUUGGCACCUCGAUGUCGGCUCAUCACAUCCUGGGGCUGAAGUAGGUCCCAAGGGUAUGGCUGUUCGCCAUUUAAAGUGGUACGCGAGCUGGGUUUAGAACGUCGUGAGACAGUUCGGUCCCUAUCUGCCGUGGGCGCUGGAGAACUGAGGGGGGCUGCUCCUAGUACGAGAGGACCGGAGUGGACGCAUCACUGGUGUUCGGGUUGUCAUGCCAAUGGCACUGCCCGGUAGCUAAAUGCGGAAGAGAUAAGUGCUGAAAGCAUCUAAGCACGAAACUUGCCCCGAGAUGAGUUCUCCCUGACUCCUUGAGAGUCCUGAAGGAACGUUGAAGACGACGACGUUGAUAGGCCGGGUGUGUAAGCGCAGCGAUGCGUUGAGCUAACCGGUACUAAUGAACCGUGAGGCUUAACCUUACAACGCCGAAG
RNAcentral lists this ribosomal RNA (2925 nucleotides) under Escherichia coli. RNAcentral's name for it is "23S ribosomal RNA". It matches the Rfam family "Bacterial large subunit ribosomal RNA". Lineage: Bacteria; Pseudomonadati; Pseudomonadota; Gammaproteobacteria; Enterobacterales; Enterobacteriaceae. The record is from RNAcentral.